UGUUUAACCUCUUUGGACCAUAGAAUUUUAGCUUUAAAACAAGAGUUAGACAAUAGAGGUCUCUGAGGGUCCUUCCAACUCUAACAUUUGGUGAUUUUAUUACUUGAAAUCCACUCUGGGUAUGUCAUCUUCUUUCUCUCAUAGGUAAUAUCAUAUAACUUUGAAGAGUUUUGUGAUGUGAAUCACCCAAAAUACUCUAUUUUUUAAAGCUAUCCGAAGUGCAUAAAGGUAUACUCUGCUUUGUCAGAAUCUCUUUUGUGAUCUAGGACAAGGUAUAUUAUUUCAU
This 286-nucleotide long non-coding RNA is filed under the name Macaca mulatta (Rhesus monkey). RNAcentral describes it as "lncRNA (ENSMMUG00000057960.1)". Lineage: Eukaryota; Metazoa; Chordata; Mammalia; Primates; Cercopithecidae. The record is from RNAcentral.